ACCCCCACCCCCCAACAAUGCUUAAGAAAACAAAUUUUCUUCUGCAGCUAUAUUGAAGCAAAAAAUAAAGGAAUAGAGAAUACUUUCAUCAGCUCGACUGGUCAUGAAUGAGACAUUGCUGAAACUGAAUUUUACAAGAAAAGUUCAAGAAAUAAAGUCAAGACGGCUUUCUAUGUAGAGGAAUUGUCACAACACAUGUCAUGAAGGUGUGCAGUGAGGAAGGAACCGUAAGGACUCUGUUGGAAGGUGCAGAGGAUGAGGUCAGAGCAUCUCAGACAAAAGACUUCCUGUUUCCGGCCUAAGAGCAGGUAGUUCCUGUCUGCAAGAAGAAGAGGAAGGGAACUGAGGUGUGACUGCUUUUCAUGUAGGUUUUCUUUUUUUUUUUCUUUUAAAGAUUUUUACUUAUUUUAUUUGAAAGG
RNAcentral lists this long non-coding RNA (419 nucleotides) under Canis lupus familiaris (dog). RNAcentral's name for it is "lncRNA (ENSCAFG00845017624.1)". The record is from RNAcentral. Lineage: Eukaryota; Metazoa; Chordata; Mammalia; Carnivora; Canidae.